Rattus norvegicus (Norway rat) is the source of this 993-nucleotide non-coding RNA. The record is from RefSeq and is a predicted model, not a curated record. Lineage: Eukaryota; Metazoa; Chordata; Mammalia; Rodentia; Muridae.
CUCCCCGACUUCACUGGGGCACCUUGGUUCUUCAGGCAGGUACCCUCACCAAGUCAUGAGGAGCAACUUUAUACAGAGGCCUCCUGAGAAACCCUGUCCCGGUAGCUGUCAGAACGGUGCCCCCAGAGCCACCUUUGAUCUCUACCAUCUGCUCAGCGAGCGCUGGUGCAACUCAGGAAGUGGUGAAGGUCAGCAGAGCCCUAACCUUGUGAGGCCUGGGUUGUCCUUCCCUGAGGCCUGGGUUCUGUGAUGGGAGAGGAUCCACAUCCUAACAUGUCCCCACGAAGAAGGAAAUACACAUGGCCAAAGAGGAAACGAGAGUCAAAAGCCCCUAGACAUGAGACCAGAAAGUACAGGAAGCACAGUGCCACCCACUCUCCAGGAAGCUACCCGGGCACAAGAACAGAUGAUAUAGCUGUGGCUUUGUCCUGGGAAAAAAACAUUUGUCAAGUCAGACGUCCUUGGUACUGGAAUAGCUGCGCUGAUAUGGUUGGGGCCUUGUCCCAGGAACUCCAGGAUGAGAAACAUCUACCUAGUCAGAUAUCCUUGCCACCGAAGUAGCUGAGCUAAUGAAGCUGUGUGACCUUGUGGUGACUAUAUAGACUGUAUGUUCCUGCUGUCCCAGGCUCUUCAUAUCCCUCCUGCGUGAGGACCGUGUCAAGCCCCAGUGCACUGGUAUCCCAAGUAAACCUCUUGUUUGUACAUCAAGACUGAGUCCCGUGUGUUUGUGGGUGGUGGGUGUCCUCAGGAUUGGAGCAAGAGUCUCCUCUAUCUGAGGGUCUUUCAUACACACACACAAACAAACACACACACACACAAACACACACACACAAAUACACAUACACACAAAUACAUGCACACACAUCACACACACACAAAUACACACACAUAUCACACACACAAAUACACACACACACACCACACACACAAUUACACACACACAAAUACACACACACCAUACAUAUACACAAAUACACACAUACCACACACACA